CAGUCGCCGCGGGAAUACGUAGGUGGCAAGCGUUGUCCGGAAUUAUUGGGCGUAAAGGGCUCGCAGGCGGUUUCUUAAGUCUGAUGUGAAAGCCCCCGGCUCAACCGGGGAGGGUCAUUGGAAACUGGGAAACUUGAGUGCAGAAGAGGAGAGUGGAAUUCCACGUGUAGCGGUGAAAUGCGUAGAGAUGUGGAGGAACACCAGUGGCGAAGGCGACUCCCUGGUCUGUAACUGACGCUGAGGAGCGAAAGCGUGGGGAGCGAACAGGAUUAGAUACCCCGGUAGUCCCUGUCUCUUAUAC
This 301-nucleotide ribosomal RNA is filed under the name uncultured bacterium. RNAcentral describes it as "partial 16S ribosomal RNA". It matches the Rfam family "Bacterial small subunit ribosomal RNA", at positions 509 to 807 of the family's 1533-position model. The record is from RNAcentral.